This 328-nucleotide unclassified non-coding RNA is filed under the name soil metagenome. Its description in RNAcentral is "partial contains 5.8S ribosomal RNA, internal transcribed spacer 2, and large subunit ribosomal RNA". The stretch from base 1 to 120 matches the Rfam family "5.8S ribosomal RNA", at positions 35 to 154 of the family's 154-position model. The record is from RNAcentral.
GAUGAAGAACGUAGCGAAAAGCGAUAAGUAAUGUGAAUUCCAGAAUUCAGUGAAUCAUCGAAUCUUUGAACGCACAUUGCGCCCCUUGGUAUUCCGAGGGGCAUGCCUGUUCGAGCGUCAUUAUUACCCUUCAAGCUCAGCUUGGUGUUGGGGCCUGCUGUAACUGGUAGCCCUUAAAAUCAGUGGCAGUGCUAUUAGGCUCUAAGCGUAGUAAUUCUUCUCGCUAUAGUGUGUAGUGAGCGCUUGCCAGAACCCCAAACUUUUAUAUGAUUGACCUCGGAUCAGGUAGGGAUACCCGCUGAACUUAAGCAUAUCAAUAAGCGGAGGA